UUGUGAUUUCGCAUGGGGGUACCCUGACGCGCNACCCGCGUGCNGGGAGAAGGCCUUCGGGUUGUAAAGCCNUGUUGUNUGGGAAGAGCACAAGACNGUGCCAUACGAGGAAGCCCCGGCAAACUACGUGCCANCAGCCGCGGUAAU
Molecule: ribosomal RNA, 147 nt
Filed under: uncultured bacterium
Lineage: Bacteria
Description: partial 16S ribosomal RNA
Rfam family: Bacterial small subunit ribosomal RNA
Source: RNAcentral